Molecule: long non-coding RNA, 759 nt
Filed under: Ananas comosus (pineapple)
Lineage: Eukaryota; Viridiplantae; Streptophyta; Magnoliopsida; Poales; Bromeliaceae
Description: long non-coding RNA (ACOM_LNC015681)
Source: RNAcentral
UACGGAGAAAAUUAGCUUAGAGAAGGAGAGAGAAUAGAAUUUGAUGUAAUCAACGAUUUAAGUAUUCAUCGGUACGAAUUGUAUCUAUUAUGUCGUAUCAUGUCAAUAAAAUAUCGGCACAAUACAAUCUCAGUGUCAAUAGCACAACUCAAAACUCUCGAUUUUUUAAAUUAGUAAGUAAUUUUCUCAUCGAUUAUCCCUUCGGCAAGUGAAAAAGGGCUUAGUAGUUGGUAUUCAAGGGAUCUCAAGUUCGAAUCCUAAUUGAUUCAUAUUUCUAGCUAAGUUUAUUUCUAAAUAAAAUAAACGAAGCGGGUAGCGUGCUACCUAUCUCUCUCUCUCUCUCUCAAAAAAAAAAGAUAUCUAAGGUCUCAAAUUUGAAGAUCCGUUGCUUCAUAUUUUUAGUUAAAUUUAAUUUUUUAAAAACAAACGAAACGAAUAGUGUAUUAUAUAUCUUUCUCUAAAAAAUAAAGGGUUAUUUUGAAUUGGCUAUCUAAUUUUUAAAAAUUUUGAUAUUAUUAACUUUCAAUUUGUUUGAUUUGAGUAAGUUAAUGAUACUUUGCUUUCAGAAUCUGAAUAAGUCGUUUAUUUUUAUAAAGUCUAGUUAGUAUACUUUGUACAAUUCUGGUAGUUAUAAAUUUAUUAAAGUGAGUAAUUAAUUUAAAUUUUGAAGUAAAAAAGUCUCGUUGAUUGACUUACCUAAACAAAUAGAAGAAUUGGAUAGUUGAUUCAAAAUAGUUCAUAAUUUAUAUUAGUUUUGUA